AACGACUGGUCGGCGUGCUAACACAUGCAAGUCGAGGGGUCGAUUAGGAAAAGUACCUUCGGGAUUCGGAUUACUUGACCUAGUGGCGGACGGGUGGAGUAACGACGUGAGCAAUCUGCCUUUGGGAUGGGGGAGUAACAGCCGGAAACGACUGCUAUACCGCAUGAUGCAGCGGGGUCGCAUGAUUUGCUGCCAAGAUUUAUCGUCCAAGAUGAGCUCGCGUCUGAUUAGCCAGUUGGCGGGGUAACGGCCCGACCAAAGCGACGAUCAGUAGCCGGACUGAGAGGUUGAACGGCCACAUUGGGACUGAGACACGGCCCAGACUCCUACGGGAGGCAGCAGUGGGGAAUAUUGCGCAAUGGGGGAAACCCUGACGCAGCAACGCCGCGUGAGUGAAGAAGGCCUUCGGGUUGUAAAGCUCUUUAAUCAGGGAUGAAGAAUGACGGUACCUGAAGAAUAAGCUCCGGCUAACUACGUG
Molecule: ribosomal RNA, 478 nt
Filed under: uncultured Butyricicoccus sp.
Lineage: Bacteria; Bacillati; Bacillota; Clostridia; Eubacteriales; Butyricicoccaceae
Description: bacterial SSU rRNA
Rfam family: Bacterial small subunit ribosomal RNA
Source: RNAcentral